This 460-nucleotide ribosomal RNA is filed under the name uncultured bacterium. Its description in RNAcentral is "partial 16S ribosomal RNA". It matches the Rfam family "Bacterial small subunit ribosomal RNA", at positions 338 to 795 of the family's 1533-position model. The record is from RNAcentral.
CCUACGGGUGGCAGCAGUGAGGAAUCUUGGUCAAUGGGCGGAAGCCUGAACCAGCUAAGUAGCGUGCAGGAUGAAGGCCCUACGGGUUGUAAACUGCUUUUAUACGGGACUAACGCGCCUUACGUGUAGGGCUUUGCAUGUACCGUAUGAAUAAGGACCGGCUAAUUCCGUGCCAGCAGCCGCGGUAAUACGGAAGGUCCGGGCGUUAUCCGGAUUUAUUGGGUUUAAAGGGAGCGUAGGCCGCAUGUCAAGCGUGCUGUGAAAUGUCCGGGCUCAACCCGGGCCUUGCAGCGCGAACUGGCUUGCUUGAGUGCGCGGAAAGCAGGCGGAAUGCGUCGUGUAGCGGUGAAAUGCUUAGAUAUGACGAAGAACCCCGAUUGCGAAGGCAGCUGGCUGCAGCGGAACUGACGCUGAUGCUCGAAAGCGCGGGUAUCGAACAGGAUUAGAUACCCUUGUAGUC